Long non-coding RNA from Oncorhynchus keta (chum salmon), 1471 nucleotides. RefSeq lists it as uncharacterized. The record is from RefSeq and is a predicted model, not a curated record. The transcript is spliced from 2 exons. NCBI's taxonomy places the organism in Eukaryota, Metazoa, Chordata, Actinopteri, Salmoniformes, Salmonidae.
GUAAUAUUUAGGUCCCUUACUGUAAUAUUUAGGUCCCUUACUGUAAUAUUUAAUAUUUAGGUCCCUUACUGUAAUAUUUAGGUCCCUUACUGUAAUGUUUAGGUACCUUACUGUAAUAUUUAGGUCCCUUACUGUAAUAUUUAGGUCCCUUACUGUAAUAUUUAGGUCCCUUACUGUAAUAUUUAGGUCCCUUACUGUAAUGUUUAGGUACCUUACUGUAAUAUUUAGGUCCUCACUGUACUACUCACUGUACUACAGAUGUUUCUAAAUGAGCUAUCUAGACUACUCACUGUACUACAGAUGUUUCUAAAUUAAAUGAGCUAUCUAGACUACUCGCUGUACUACAGGCUACAGAUGUUUCUAAAUGAGCUAUCUAGACUACUCACUGUACUACAGAUGUUUCUAAAUGAGCUAUCUAGACUACUCACUGUACUACAGAUGUUUCUAAAUGAGCUAUCUAGACUACUCACUGUACUACAGAUGUUUCUAAAUGAGCUAUCUAGACUACUCACUGUACUACAGAUGUUUCUAAAUGAGCUAUCUAGACUACUCACUGUACUACAGAUGUUUCUAAAUGAGCUAUCUAGACUACUCACUGUACUAUAGGCUACAGAUGUUUCUAAAUUAGCUAUCUAGACUACUCACUGUACUACAGGCUACAGAUGUUUCUAAAUGAGCUAUCUAGACUACUCACUGUACUACAGAUGUUUCUAAAUGAGCUAUCUAGACUACUCACUGUACUAAAGAUGUUUCUAAAUGAGCUAUCUAGACUACUCACUGUACUACAGAUGUUUCUAAAUGAGCUAUCUAGACUACUCACUGUACUACAGAUGUUUCUAAAUGAGCUAUCUAGACUACUCACUGUACUACAGAUGUUUCUAAAUGAGCUAUCUAGACUACUCACUGUACUAUAGGCUACAGGUGUUUCUAAAUGAGCUAUCUAGACUACUCACUGUACUAAAGAUGUUUCUAAAUGAGCUAUCUAGACUACUCACUGUACUAUAGGCUACAGAUGUUUCUAAAUGAGCUAUCUAGACUACUCGCUGUACUACAGAUGUUUCUAAAUGAACUAUCUAGACUACUCACUGUACUAUAGGCUACAGAUGUUUCUAAAUUAGCUAUCAAGGCUACUCACUGUACUACAGGCUACAGAUGUUUCUAAAUGAGCUAUCUAGACUACUCACUGUACUACAGAUGUUUCUAAAUGAGCUAUCUAGACUACUCACUGUACUACAGGUGUUUCUAAAUGAGCUAUCUAGACUACUCACUGUACUACAGAUGUUUCUAAAUGAGCUAUCUAGACCACUCACCGUACUAUAGGCUACAGAUGUGAGUCACCACUAAAAUAGUUAUUAAUGUUAUUGAGUAGGCCUACAUCUUUGUUUAAUCUUUGUCUAACAAUAAAACAACUUAUUAUUUUGUAAGAAAUGUAAAGGCUUUUUACAAUAAAUUUGACUGAAGUAGAAGCUCA